AGUGAAUGCUGGCGGUAGGCCUAACACAUGCAAGUCGAACGGCAGCACAGUAAGAGCUUGCUCUUACGGGUGGCGAGUGGCGGACGGGUGAGGAAUACAUCGGAAUCUACUUUUUCGUGGGGGAUAACGUAGGGAAACUUACGCUAAUACCGCAUACGACCUACGGGUGAAAGCAGGGGAUCUUCAGACCUUGCGCGAUUGAAUGAGCCGAUGUCGGAUUAGCUAGUUGGCGGGGUAAAGGCCCACCAAGGCGACGAUCCGUAGCUGGUCUGAGAGGAUGAUCAGCCACACUGGAACUGAGACACGGUCCAGACUCCUACGGGAGGCAGCAGUGGGGAAUAUUGGACAAUGGGCGCAAGCCUGAUCCAGCCAUACCGCGUGGGUGAAGAAGGCCUUCGGGUUGUAAAGCCCUUUUGUUGGGAAAGAAAAGCAGCAGGUUAAUACCCCGCUGUUCUGACGGUACCCAAAGAAUAAGCACCGGCUAACUUCGUG
RNAcentral lists this ribosomal RNA (492 nucleotides) under uncultured bacterium. RNAcentral describes it as "partial 16S ribosomal RNA". It matches the Rfam family "Bacterial small subunit ribosomal RNA", at positions 29 to 507 of the family's 1533-position model. The record is from RNAcentral.